This 434-nucleotide ribosomal RNA is filed under the name Chlorepyris sp. RNAcentral's name for it is "partial large subunit ribosomal RNA". Lineage: Eukaryota; Metazoa; Arthropoda; Insecta; Hymenoptera; Bethylidae. The record is from RNAcentral.
AAACAUUUCUUUUAGAUAAAAAUUUAAAGUUAGUUCUGCUCAAUGAUUUUAAAUUAAAUAGCUGCAGUAUAUUAACUGUACAAAGGUAGCAUAAUAAAUUGUUUUUUAAAUGAAAACUAGAAUGAAAGAAUAAAUGAAAUAUAAACUUUAUUAAUAAGUAAUUUUGAAAUUUAUUUUUAAGUUAAAAAGCUUAAAUAAUUUAAUGGGACGAUAAGACCCUAUAGAAUUUUAUAAAAUUUUUAUUAUAAUAGUAAUAUAAAUUUUAUUAAAAAUUUUAUUUUUUUGGGAGGAAAUUAAAAUUUAUAAAACUUUUAAAAAUGUAGUACAUUGAUGAAUGGAAAUUAAUAGAUUUUAUAUAUUAUAAAUUUUAGAUUAAAUUACCUUAGGGAUAACAGCGUAAUAUUUUUUGAUAGUUCAUAUUGAAAAAAAUGUUU